AUUUCUGAAAAUUUUUCUCAUCUUGCUUCUUCUUUUUGUUUCUUUGUGGGAAUGGAAGCUUAAUGAUGGGUUUUGGUUCAGGUAGCUUUUCUUGCACCACCGGCAGUGUCACACUUUCUUCCUCAGUUGGUGUCUUGUUUUCUAAGAUUUCCAGGUCCACUUCAAGCAAUUGAUCUUCUUCUUCAUCCUUCUUCUUAAGAUCUUCAACAGAUUUCC
This 216-nucleotide long non-coding RNA is filed under the name Lathyrus oleraceus (garden pea). RNAcentral's name for it is "Pisum sativum (pea) long non-coding RNA (PSAT_LNC018295)". The record is from RNAcentral. Lineage: Eukaryota; Viridiplantae; Streptophyta; Magnoliopsida; Fabales; Fabaceae.